Chiroxiphia lanceolata (lance-tailed manakin) is the source of this 363-nucleotide long non-coding RNA. RefSeq lists it as uncharacterized. The transcript has 3 exons. Lineage: Eukaryota; Metazoa; Chordata; Aves; Passeriformes; Pipridae. The record is from RefSeq and is a predicted model, not a curated record.
ACAUAUGACACUCCCAGGGCUUCAGCUACACCAGGGCAGGCAUCAAUUGGUUGAGCUCUAGGACUGUUGCAAUAGGCUACAGCCAGCCCAGGCCAAGGCAAGCCUUAUGCUACUGAUUAGCACAAUGUGUAGGUUCUUGGGGUCCUGAGCAGGGCCCUUGCCGUGCUGGUGACAGAAGAGUGAAAUGUUUGAGGGUGGAAAUCAAAGCUCCUGAGAAAUCAUGGUCAUUGCAUGCUGUCCUGCUGCAGGUGCUAAUCAAAGCAGUGCAGGAGACAGAGGAUUCAAUGCAAAAACAAGACUAUCUGUGGGAAAGUGUGUUUGAAAAGUUGCUCUAUCAACACAUGAUUGUAACAGAAGCCAUCU